Molecule: ribosomal RNA, 120 nt
Filed under: uncultured bacterium
Lineage: Bacteria
Description: partial 16S ribosomal RNA
Rfam family: Bacterial small subunit ribosomal RNA
Source: RNAcentral
GACGAACGCUGGCGGCGUGCUUCACACAUGCAAGUCGAGCGGUGAAGCCCCUUCGGGGGUGGAGCAGCGGCGAACGGGUGAGUAACACGUGGGCAACCUGCCCCUAGCACUGGGAUAACC